Molecule: ribosomal RNA, 621 nt
Filed under: uncultured bacterium
Lineage: Bacteria
Description: bacterial SSU rRNA
Rfam family: Bacterial small subunit ribosomal RNA (bases 1-534)
Source: RNAcentral
CCUACGGGAGGCAGCAGUAAGGAAUAUUGGUCAAUGGACGCAAGUCUGAACCAGCCAUGCCGCGUGAAGGAUUAAGGUCCUCUGGAUUGUAAACUUCUUUUAUUUGGGACGAAAAAGGGCCUUUCUAGGUCAACUGACGGUACCAGAUGAAUAAGCACCGGCUAACUCCGUGCCAGCAGCCGCGGUAAUACGGAGGGUGCAAGCGUUAUCCGGAUUCACUGGGUUUAAAGGGUGCGUAGGCGGGUAGGUAAGUCAGUGGUGAAAUCCUAGAGCUUAACUCUAGAACUGCCAUUGAUACUAUUUAUCUUGAAUAUUGUGGAGGUAAGCGGAAUAUGUCAUGUAGCGGUGAAAUGCUUAGAUAUGACAUAGAACACCUAUUGCGAAGGCAGCUUACUACGCAUAUAUUGACGCUGAGGCACGAAAGCGUGGGGAUCAAACAGGAUUAGAUACCCUGGUAGUCCACGCCCUAAACUAUGAUUACUCGACAUUUGAGAUACACAUUAAGUGUNUGAGAGAAGANAUAAGUAAUACACCNCGGAGUACGUACCGCGAGAGAGAAGUACAAUAGAAGUUAGUACGGACGUAGAGACGAGCCGACGGACGACGACGAGGGAGGAGGAG